UCGGCUGGUUUUGACCGGCAAAUUUACGGGUUAAAUGAGUUCAAAUUAAAAUGAAUUUUGGGUAAAAAAAUGUUUUGUUCAAGACCUAAAAAAAACAGGUUAAGUUCAGAUCGGAUGAAUUAAAAUUGGGAGUUCUACUUUCACUCCUUUUUUUUCCCUACAAACUUAACAAUUAUACUUAUAAAGGAUUGUUCCCUAAAAAAAAAAAAUACUUACAAAGGAUUGUACAAAAAUGGGACAAAAAUGACUAAUGAGUGACUAACGGUUGAAGUUGGAGAACCACCACAGCAGUACAAUGCGGUGGAAAACUACUUUAAAGUUUCCCUCCAAGGCCGCCAAAAUCUCCCUCCUCCUCAUCACCGCCACUGCCACCGGCACCGCCACUGUCGACUCUUUCCCACUUUUCGACUCUUCUUCCCGUGCCAUCACCGCUUUCUCCGAUGAUUUUCGUGCUCCUUUUUUUGCUUUUCGACGCUCCUCUUACACCUUCUUUACGAUUGCUUCAACUAUAUUUGAUUACAAGUAUUCGAUUUAUGGGCUAGCAAAGGGUUCGGAUGAGUAUCGACAUACAAUUUCUGAGGUUCAUCUGCGCUCUGCUAAGAGAAUAUUAAAGUUGUGUGAAGAUAAUAAAGGGUUUUAUGUGAAAGCUGGUCAGUUUGCGUCAUCUCUAAGACAGCUCCCAAAGGAAUAUACUAUGACACUUUCUGUUUUACAGGAUAAGGCAGUUCCUUGUGAUUUCAAUUUAAUAAAAGAAGUGAUCUGUAGAAAUCUCAGUUCUGAGAUUACUGAUAUGUUUCUCUUUUUUGACGAGCAACCACUCGCUGCAGCUUCAAUUGCUCAAGUUCAUCGUGGUGUCCUGAAAAGCGGGGAGGAAGUUGCUGUGAAGGUGCAAUACCCUGGAUUAGAGCGGCUGAUGGAGUUGGACAUCACUAUCAUGUCUUUUGUCUCACAUGUUGCUGCUUGGAUAUUUCCAGAAUUCAGAUUUGGAUGGAUUCUUUCAAUGUUUAAAGAGGCCGUUUCUGCGGAACUUGAUUUCAUUCAGGAAGCAAGGAAUUCUGAGAGGACUGCAAAGAAUUUUAGAAACAACAAGAAAGUCAAGAUCCCGCGAAUUUUUUGGGAUUUGACAACCAGCCAGGUAUUGACCAUGCAGUUUUGUUCGGGGCAAAAGGUUGAUGACCUGGAAUUUCUGAAAAAAACAGGAAUGGAUCCAAGAAAGGUUGCGCAAGCUCUGGUUGAAGUUUUUGCUGAUAUGGUAUUUAUCCAUGGCUUUGUUCAUGGAGAUCCACAUCCUGGAAAUAUCUUAGUUUCUCCAAGUGGUCAGAAUGACUUUACUUUGGUUCUAUUAGACCAUGGAAUGUACAAGGAACUAGAUGAAGGAUUCACAAGGAACUAUUGUCGGUUAUGGAAGGCAUUGAUUCUUCGUGAUAUGGAUGAAUUACUGCAUACUGGUGAAUCACUCGGUAUUGGUAGUUAUGCUAUAUAUUUACCCAUUAUAUUCACUGGGAGAACAAUAAACAGUAAAGCAGGACUCGGAAGAGAGAUUUCCAAUGAAGAACGAAAUAUUGUCAAGCAGGAGCUCAAGGCUCUUACAAUGGAUGACAUUUCAUCAUUCAUGGAAUCCUUGCCAGCUGCCUUUUUGACAAUAUUGCGUACAGACGGCAUUCUUAGAUCUAUACUCAGCAAAUUAGGUACAACCCAAAGUGUUCGGAUUCUAACCUAUGCCAGAUCUGCUAUACAUGGCCUUUCUCCAAUCGAAGAAUAUGAGCAUGGUUCUACACUGGAUUUUUUCAUCACCAGAAUCAGGAUUAAAUAUAGUUAUCUUCAAAUUAAAUGCCUUCUUGGUGUGCUGGGGCUGCUUUCAUGGAUUGAAGAUAUUAAACAGAUAUUAACUAAGAGCUUGAAGAGAUUGCUGGCUACCGCCAGAAAUCUAUAUCUGCCUCAUGCAAACCACUGAUUUCAUGUUGUGUGCUUUUCGUCUGGAUAAUGGAGCUAUUCUUUUGGUUUUGUUAUAAGGUUUACUUUUUCAUGUUUACAGCAGGCAGCAGCAACUACAUACAGUGCAUAGCAAUGUGAGAAAUACAAAGCUGGUUCAAGCGAGCAAGCAACAUACUGAACACAGACCUGUUUGAUUUAGGUUGUUAGAGCUUGUUAUCCACCACCUGUUUUGAUAGGAUAUUUUGUUAUAUAUAUAUUCAUAUAUGUUACUGAUGGUCUGAUGUUAUAGAUAGGGUAGCAGGCAGCUGUGUUUUAUGUAUCUUUUGCCCAUUCUGACCACAGUAUUAAACUUUGUAUGAUUCAAGUAAAUAAGAAAACUAUCUUCUCCUAUAAAUGAAGAAAUUAUGCUCCAA
Molecule: RNA transcript, 2348 nt
Organism: Chenopodium quinoa (quinoa)
Lineage: Eukaryota; Viridiplantae; Streptophyta; Magnoliopsida; Caryophyllales; Amaranthaceae
Exons: 17
Source: RefSeq, a predicted model, not a curated record